GUGAUGGGGAGAAGACAUUGUGUCUUCGAGUCGUUGAUUUCACACUGCCGAGAAAAGCCUCUAGAUAGAAAAUAGGUGCCCGUACCGCAAACCGACACAGGUAGUCAAGAUGAGAAUUCUAAGGUGAGCGAGCGAACUCUCGUUAAGGAACUCGGCAAAAUGACCCCGUAACUUCGGGAGAAGGGGUGCUCUUUAGGGUUAACGCCCAGAAGAGCCGCAGUGAAUAGGCCCAAGCGACUGUUUAUCAAAAACACAGGUCUCUGCUAAACCGUAAGGUGAUGUAUAGGGGCUGACGCCUGCCCGGUGCUGGAAGGUUAAGAGGAGUGGUUAGCUUCUGCGAAGCUACGAAUCGAAGCCCCAGUAAACGGCGGCCGUAACUAUAACGGUCCUAAGGUAGCGAAAUUCCUUGUCGGGUAAGUUCCGACCCGCACGAAAGGCGUAACGAUUUGGGCACUGUCUCAACGAGAGACUCGGUGAAAUCAUAGUACCUGUGAAGA
RNAcentral lists this ribosomal RNA (497 nucleotides) under Staphylococcus aureus. RNAcentral's name for it is "partial 23S ribosomal RNA". It matches the Rfam family "Bacterial large subunit ribosomal RNA", at positions 1562 to 2059 of the family's 2925-position model. Lineage: Bacteria; Bacillati; Bacillota; Bacilli; Caryophanales; Staphylococcaceae. The record is from RNAcentral.